Acanthosepion pharaonis is the source of this 104-nucleotide non-coding RNA. The record is from the annotation of a GenBank genome assembly. NCBI's taxonomy places the organism in Eukaryota, Metazoa, Mollusca, Cephalopoda, Sepiida, Sepiidae.
UUACGGUCACAUCACGCUGAAACUCCGGAUUUCGUACAAUCACCGAAGUUAAGGAACGUCUCACUUGGUUAGUACUUAGAUGGGUGACUGUUUGGGACCACCAG